RNAcentral lists this transfer RNA (88 nucleotides) under Candidatus Kaiserbacteria bacterium RIFCSPLOWO2_01_FULL_52_36. RNAcentral's name for it is "tRNA-Ser". It matches the Rfam family "tRNA". Rfam says of the family: Transfer RNA (tRNA) molecules are approximately 80 nucleotides in length. Their secondary structure includes four short double-helical elements and three loops (D, anti-codon, and T loops). Lineage: Bacteria; Candidatus Kaiseribacteriota. The record is from RNAcentral.
GGAGAGGUGGCUGAGUGGUCGAAAGCACCGGUUUCGAAAACCGGCAUACCGCAAGGUAUCGGGAGUUCGAAUCUCCCCCUCUCCGCAA